UACGGGGGGAGCAAGCGUUGUUCGGAUUUACUGGGCGUAAAGGGCGCGUAGGCGGCCAGCACAAGUCAGUUGUGAAAUCUCCGAGCUUAACUCGGAAAGGUCAACUGAUACUGUGCGGCUAGAGUGCGGAAGGGGCAACUGGAAUUCUUGGUGUAGCGGUGAGAUGCGUAGAUAUCAGGAGGAACACCGAUAGCGAAGGCAGCUCGCUGGGACGGUACUGACGCUGAGGCGCGAAAGCGUGGGGAGCGAACAGG
This 254-nucleotide ribosomal RNA is filed under the name uncultured bacterium. RNAcentral describes it as "partial 16S ribosomal RNA". It matches the Rfam family "Bacterial small subunit ribosomal RNA", at positions 524 to 776 of the family's 1533-position model. The record is from RNAcentral.